This 24-nucleotide non-coding RNA is filed under the name Arabidopsis thaliana (thale cress). Lineage: Eukaryota; Viridiplantae; Streptophyta; Magnoliopsida; Brassicales; Brassicaceae. The record is from RNAcentral.
GGGUUUGACCAUAUGGACAAUGGG